UCAUUUUGGUGUUUAAGCUUAGAGCGUAUACGGCAGGACAAAAGGAGUUUUUGUAUGAACUAAGAUGGCAAUAUAUGUUAGUUGUAGGGAAAAUAGAUAAAUGUAUGUUGGGAACAUUUUUAUAGCAGUAGUUUUCAAAAAGUUCAGACAAUUUUCCGCUAAAAUGCCCCCUAAAUUGACAAAAUGCUCCCAAACACCGUCUAGCGGUAACGGAAAUUUAAGUUUUGUAAACAAACUUUAAUUUUAGAAACACAUGUUACAUGUGCAAACAAGGGCGGUUAAAAUGUUUAAAUUUAAACUUCUACAGAAAAUUGACUUUACUUAUCUUGACCACCAAACAGUUUGUCCAAGGAAUUUUAAAAUGAGUUAUUGAUUGGUGUUGGUGAAGUAAAGGCCAUUUAACGUAAAAUUAUUAUUUACAUUUUUUGUGAACCAGUAUUUAUGUCACAAUGGUUACAAAUUAACAAUCGUAUUAAGGAAAAGUGACAAUUUAUUCAAAGGCCGUAAGUUUUAUUCAAAGUAGUAAUAACUCCUAACGAUGCGUGAUGAUUCAUACAUCCUGCUUACAUCAUAAUACUGCAGUGUGAUGCAGCUUACUCAUUCAUAUAUAUGUGUGGUGUCACUGCGUGGGGGUUAAUGUGAAUUAUACAAUGAUGUGUAUGCAUUGUACUGCUGUUGGUUGUACUGGGAGCUCAGAAGUUAUAAUAUCAAAAAUAUGAAGUUAAAUAUUGAGAUUUUAAUUGUGCUUGUGUUAAUAUUUUGUAUUGAUGCGUCAAUUUCAAAGUUACAAGCAUUUGACACAGCUUGGUGCGAAGUAACAAGUUUACGAGGAGCUUCUUAUGACAGUUUUGUUAAAUUUAACUCAACAUAUGAAUCUUGUGUGACGUGUGGUAACGUGACAGCUGUUUACAAUCGCUCCUGGCUUCCUGCGAUGUCUUGCUGUGGUGGGACUUUACAGCGAAGUGAAAAUUGCCAUUCAAGUUUAGAAGCCACAUGUGAUACCACGAGGGCAAUCCGGGAAACCUCGUUGUGUGAUGGAAUAAAGGAUUGUUUAGAUGGAAGAGAUGAAGCUUUGUGUACGAGCUGCAGUGGACAAGAACGAGACAAAUUCCGAUGCAGUCACUUUCAGUGUGUCGAACUGCAUCAACUUUGUGAUGGAAAAAAAGAUUGUUUUAACGGCCUCGAUGAGACUUUCUGUUUGUAUUCAUAUGGGUUUUGUGCUGGCUUCCGUUGUAUUAGUGAAGUUAUUGUAAGUGAAGUCAGUUAUAAAAUUGAAAGCUGUAUUGAAGCAAAACAAGUAUGUGAUGCAAAGAAAGACUGUUUGAAUGGUUUAGAUGAAUUGAAUUGUGUUCAAUUUACUCAAAGUGGUUUUCAAUGUUCCAAUACAUCAACAAUACCUGCUCAACAGGUUUGUGAUGGAACAAUGCAAUGCGAUUCUAAACAAGACGAGAACAACUGUUACCAGUGGAGCCAAUGGGGCAGAUGGUCACAGUGCAAAAACGAUGGUGUUUCAAAUCAUACAAAAAGUUAUAAAGAACGGAAAAGGAAAUGUGUGAGUCCUUAUACAGGAUAUCGGCAGAAAUGUGUGGGUGAACAGUACAAUAGAUGGGAUGUUUCAUGUACUGUAAAUCAUACAGUAACAACUGCUAGCACUACAACUGUAGUAAGCACACAUAGGGGACUUAGUAAUACUAUUAAAGCCAUCAUAUCACUCAGUACUCUGUUGGGGGUGAUUGUUAUACUUGGAGGGUUAUAUUUUAUAAUUUCAACUUUACGUCGGCAACAUUAUCGUCGUAAAUACCCCCUGCCGCACGUCGAGUAUGCACCGUCAGUGGAACUGGACAGCCAUGUCAGUGAAAUCUCCAACUCACAAGUUCAGUAUCGAGAUUCUGGGGCCAAUUUUAGAACCAGUUGGUUUCCGCAAAACUCAAUGAAGCCAUCUCCGUCUAUCGUGCUUGUAUCCGCAGAACGGGAGGUUGUGUUAAACCCUUUGUACCAUAUAGAACCUAAACCUAACAACUCAAUGAGUUUGCUACAACCUGUGAUAAAGAGAUUGUCGUCAGCAAGCCAUGACAGUCAGGAUAUCAAGCAACUAAAUAGGCUUGGUAAGGUGGACGCACAAACUGAUAGUUUGUUGAUGGAUGUGGAAGAUAUUGAACAAUUCAAUGGAAAACUCGUGAUUGUUCAAACUGACAACUCUAUUAAAGUGUUGACCAAAGAAAAUGUGGAUAAAUAAAUUAAUAUAAAUCAGUUGAGAUUGAAAUAAUAAAUGCUCUUAUAAUUCUUGCAUUAAUAUAGUGAAGAAUGCAUGUUUGUAUCAUUAUUACGCCAAUCACUUUUUACUUUUAUUACAAUAUCAGAUAUAUUAAAUAGCUCUUUAUUUGAGCAACCUCUCAUUAAAGCUUAAUUACAAAUGCAUAGAAUGACAAAUGGCCAUAUAAAUGUUAAAUUCAAUGUUUAAAAGUUUUAAAGCCCCACUGUAUGUUACAUUGUAGAUGAAACAGACAUUGUAUUUAUAUAUACCGCACACCAACAUACUUACACAACAUUUCACUAUAUUUUCAGUAAUUUGAAAUUUUAUUAUUUUCUUUUUGAUAGAGGAAGCAUAGGUUGUUAAAAACAUGUUUGUUUCUUGGGAAAGCAUUGGAGGAUAUUUGCUCAUAUUUGGUGGAUUGAAUGUGGUUGUGUUAACCAUUUUCAUCAUACUUGCAACUCAUUAUAAAUUCUCCAAACCAAAUGCCACCAAUAGUAAAGAAAAUGCUCCUGAAAAAGAAGUAAAGGAAAAAAAUGAGAUUUGUGAGAAUGAGAAAAAGGAAGAAAAAGAAGCAAGUAAAAAAGGGGAAAAGAAAAGGGAAGAAAGAGAAGAUAACGAAAAUGAAGGAAGAGAAAAAAGAAGAGAGAGAAGCAGAUGAAAAAGAAGAAGAUUCUUCGAAGGGAGUUGAAAAAGAAGUUGCUUCACUUGCACGCUUAUGUGGCUACUCUGCUGGCCACAUGAAAGAGUUAUCACAAUGCGCUUUAUUUUUCCAAAAGUUUAGUGAAGAACAAGAUAAAAUAACUUUUGGUCGAAACAGGAACCAACAACAGAAUGAUAUUUCCUCUCCAGAUGCGGGGAAUAAUGUUGAUCAUCCAGAUAUUGACGAGGAGGAAGAAGUUGAUAUAUCGGAUCUUGAUGUUGAUGACAUCAGCAUUGAGGAAGAUAAUGAUGAUUGUGACAUCAGCGCUGAGGCGAUGGCCGAUAUAGAAGCGGAGAUGAUGAACUCCAGCAUUAUAAUGGCUCCAACUUCGGAAGAGGAAAACACUUCUAAAGAGAGUAACCUCGCACCAGAGAAAAAUGUGGAAAAAGUUUCAAACAUUUUGGAAAAA
Non-coding RNA from Ciona intestinalis (vase tunicate), 3363 nucleotides. NCBI's taxonomy places the organism in Eukaryota, Metazoa, Chordata, Ascidiacea, Phlebobranchia, Cionidae. The record is from RefSeq and is a predicted model, not a curated record.